Molecule: transfer RNA, 71 nt
Filed under: Cavia porcellus (domestic guinea pig)
Lineage: Eukaryota; Metazoa; Chordata; Mammalia; Rodentia; Caviidae
Rfam family: tRNA
About the family: Transfer RNA (tRNA) molecules are approximately 80 nucleotides in length.
Source: Rfam by way of RNAcentral
ACACUGAUGGUUCAAUAGUAGAAUUCUCAUCUCCCAUGUGGGAAGCCUGGGUUCAAUUCCUGGCCAAUGCA